ACGCAGCAGUUCCUACGUGCCUUGGACAUGUGGAGAAAGCCUUGGUUUUUGUCUCAGGGCCCAGUGCUGGGAGCUCCUUGUCGCUGUGUAACGCUAGCGACAGAUGCAUCCCUCACUGGCUGGGGUGCGGUCAUGAGUGGCCACCCUGCCCGUGGUCUGUGGAGUGGUCGCCAUCUGACAUGGCAUAUCAACUGCCUGAAGAUGCUGGCCGUGCUUCGAGCACUACAUUACUUUCUCCCAGACCUAAGAGGUCACCAUGUGUUGGUGCACACCGACAACACAGCGGUGGUCUCUUACAUCAACCACCAAGGGGGUCUGCGCUCACGGCGUUUAUACAAACUAGCGUACCAGAUCCUUGUGUGGUCCCAGGGUGCACUCUUCUUGCUGAGAGCAGUCCACAUUCCUGGGCAUCUCAAUAUGGGAGCAGAUAUCCUGUCGAGGCAGGGGCCGAGGGCCAGGGAAUGGUGGCUUCACACCGCGGUGGUGAAGCAGAGUUGGAGAGUUUUGGCCAGGCUCGGGUGGAUCUGUUUGCGACUCGAGAGACAUCGCACUGUCCCCUCUGGUUCUCUCUCUGACUCAUUCAGCUCUACUAGGCUGGAUGCCAUGGUACAGAUGUGGCCGAGGCUUCCUCUGUACGCUUUUCCCCCGAUUGCUCUGUUCCUGGGAGUUCUGGAGAGAGUGCGCCAGGACGGAGUCCGGCUGCUGUUGGUAGCCCUGUUCUGGCCGGGCCGGGUAUGGUUCUUGGGCCUGAUUUCUCUCUUUGACGGCACUCCAUGGGAGGUUCCCGUCAAGAGAUCUCCUCUCGCAGUCGGAGGGCGCGCCACUGCACGGAGCUUGGAGGCUGUAGGUGUGGUCUCUGAGGAGGCACAACUCAUAGCUUCCGGUCUCUCAACUGAGGUUGGUGAGACCAUUCUCCAAUCCAGAGCUCCCUCAGUGAGGAAACUGUAUGUCUUGAAGUGGAAGCUUUUCACUUCUUGGUGCGAAGACCACCAGCUCGACCCAGUUAACUGCCCGGUUGGUACAGUUCUGGAGUUCCUGCUGGCCCUUCUCUCCACAGGGUUGACC
This is a long non-coding RNA of Cyprinus carpio (common carp), 1065 nucleotides long. Lineage: Eukaryota; Metazoa; Chordata; Actinopteri; Cypriniformes; Cyprinidae. The record is from Ensembl.